RNAcentral lists this long non-coding RNA (1444 nucleotides) under Arabidopsis lyrata. RNAcentral describes it as "long non-coding RNA (ALYR_LNC002358)". The record is from RNAcentral. Lineage: Eukaryota; Viridiplantae; Streptophyta; Magnoliopsida; Brassicales; Brassicaceae.
AGCAUUAUGGCCACGGACGUAGUACUUGUUUUACUAAUUGGAAAAUUUUAUCAACUACUAAACAUUUUAAGAGAAAUACGUAUAUUUCAAAAAACAUUUGACAAAGAGAAAGAAAAAAUGACAUAGCUAAUUUGAAUAGGUGGGAUGAGUAUAAAUACAUGUCUAAAACAAUCUCACUCUCAGUCUCAUCACUUCUCUUCAAUUAUAAUCGCCAAUUGUCAUUGUGAUCAGAAACAUGGUGAUUUCACCCUUAUAACCGGAUUAAGUGACCUGAUAAAUAUGUUUGAGAACCUUAAAGAUGGAGAUCUUGUGCAUACUCUCUUAUCGUGCUUUUGUUUUCACCUAUAACUUUCUCCAAGAAUGUCUAACUUGUUGCUGCCGAAAAAAAACAAUUACAGAAAACCAGAGACAAUUCAGGGCCGGUCCAAAGUUUCAAAAUUUUCUUUGAUACCCUACGCAUAACUAAAAAUUUAGGCAUUUUUGUUAAUGUAAAAAAAAAAAUUCUCCCAAAAAAAAUAUUUUAUAAUGUGAGACCCUAAGCGAUGGCUUCACUUGCUUGCCCUCCGGACCGGCUCAGAGUUAGUGAGAUAUAAAAAAGAGAAAGAUAAAUAUCUUUUUGCAACAGAGAACAAAGAAAUACGAAAAUUUUAGAGAACAAAAAUGAAAUCGCUGGUUUUUUGUACUUUGACAAACUCAAACAGUCUCAACCACUUGAUCAUCAUAUAUGUGACCAACAAUUAGUGAAAAGAAAACCAAAGGAAAAUUAAAUGACAGUUACCUUGGAUUAAUCACAAUCUAACAAUUUAGUAUUCACGAUUUGCUUCGUGGAAUUGUUCUUUUCCCGAAAAUGUUUCCCACAAAACCCUGAUAUUGAAGCUCAUGUUCGAUGUGCCCAACUUCUAUAAAAUAUCAAUAUCACAAAUUGUAAAAUUCACAACUUAUACAUCAAAAUUAAGACCCAAAACAGAAUAUGCAAAACGAAAAGAUAUACAAUCUUGAAAUAUUACAAAUUUGAUACCUAAAACAUAUAUGCAGCGCCAGUGUUUGAUUUCAAAAACCAGAAUCACUCUCGUUCUCGUGUUUCAUCAUCGCGGUCCGCAAUUCACUAUGUUCUCUUGUUCAGUAUCACCAUUUUCUUGUUCUCCUCUUCAUCUGUAAUUGAUAAGGAAUUCUGAUUUGAGAAGGAAAAGUGGACCAAAAAGUGGUAGAAUGGUAUAUCUAACAUGGCGUGCAGUUGGUCGCCGAGAAAGUAACCGGUCGGAGGUGAGAAAUUUAAAAAACUAUAAUUCACAAAGAAAAAUGAAACCGUAUAAAUAAGGUGACCAAUCAACUGCAAGAAGGAAACGGUUUCAUAUUUUCUUUGCAAACUAAUUUGCUAUUGUAGUCAUGGAAAUCGUGGGGAAGGCGGCGGCGAGUAAGAGGGAAAGAUAUUAGGGUUGUAAAU